ACACAUGGAAACUCUAAAACAAACAUAAUUCAACUUGUAGGCCAGAUUUGAAAAGGAAAUAAUAAAUCCCGAAGCUCAGAUGUCAGACACCGAGGCUGCCAGUACCUCUGGGUCGAUAGUCCAUGUGUUGGAUGAUGCACUGCCGUUGAUCAGAACAGACAGCGUAUACGAGAGAUGUCAGCGAUUCGGGCUAAACAGCCAAUGACCAAGGGAAAGCUGGGACAAAUGAGAGGCUCACACGGUGUAACGAUCGUCAAAAGGAGUAGACCAAGGUGCAGCGUGGUACGUGUUCAUCUUGAAUUUAUUUUAAUUUAGAACACUUCAACAAAAGAACAAACAAUGACAAACGACCAUCACGUCUUGCAGGCUAUA
Molecule: non-coding RNA, 372 nt
Organism: Salmo salar (Atlantic salmon)
Lineage: Eukaryota; Metazoa; Chordata; Actinopteri; Salmoniformes; Salmonidae
Source: RefSeq, a predicted model, not a curated record